This is a long non-coding RNA of Panthera uncia (snow leopard), 424 nucleotides long. RefSeq lists it as uncharacterized. NCBI's taxonomy places the organism in Eukaryota, Metazoa, Chordata, Mammalia, Carnivora, Felidae. The transcript is spliced from 3 exons. The record is from RefSeq and is a predicted model, not a curated record.
GAUAGGAGCUGGAAGCAAUCUGGAUUCUGCUUCUCCAAACCUGAGCAUAUGUAAAAGAAAGCCUUUGCCCAGCAGAAUUAGCAGAUGGUCUAAAUCCCCUUGGAGUACAUGGGCUCAGUUCAACACUGAUUUGGGAUUAUUCAUUCAAAGUCCUUGGUCUUCUGGAACUUUACUAAGGCUUUCCCUCAUCAGGCUGACGAUGGCUCACUUCACACAUAACCACUCAAGACUUCUGUGCAGCAUAAAAUAGAAGAUCAAAAGCAGGGUUGAAUCUUUUUUGAAAGAGUUUGGUAACACCAGGCAUUUGAACACUCAGUCACAUGCAGCAGAACCAGGCACAUGGAGAACAGCUGAUUCCACAAAACCAAGGGCUUGGGUAAGUGCCCGGCGCUGAAGCCACCUAAAGUGACUGCAAAUGCUGUGU